UAAUACGGAGGGUGCAAGCGUUACCCGGAAUCACUGGGCGUAAAGGGCGCGUAGGCGGUUAUAUAAGUCUGGCUUUAAAGACCGAAGCUCAACUUCGGAUCUGGGUUGGAUACUGUAUGGCUAGACGGCUGGAGGGGAGAGUGGAAUUCUCGGUGUAGCGGUGAAAUGCGGAGAUACCGAGAGGAACACCAGUAGCGAAGGCGGCUCUCUGGACAGUACGUGACGCUGAGGCGCGAAAGUGUGGGGAGCAAACCGG
RNAcentral lists this ribosomal RNA (256 nucleotides) under uncultured bacterium. RNAcentral's name for it is "partial 16S ribosomal RNA". It matches the Rfam family "Bacterial small subunit ribosomal RNA", at positions 521 to 776 of the family's 1533-position model. The record is from RNAcentral.